Molecule: ribosomal RNA, 209 nt
Filed under: uncultured bacterium
Lineage: Bacteria
Description: partial 16S ribosomal RNA
Rfam family: Bacterial small subunit ribosomal RNA
Source: RNAcentral
AGCCUUUCGAAAGAAAGAUUAAUACCCGAUGGCAUAAUGAUUCCGCAUGGUUUCAUUAUUAAAGGAUUCCGGUAAAGGAUGGGGAUGCGUUCCAUUAGGUUGUUGGUGAGGUAACGGCCCACCAAGCCUUCGAUGGAUAGGGGUUCUGAGAGGAAGGUCCCCCACAUUGGAACUGAGACACGGUCCAAACUCCUACGGGAGGCAGCAUG